RNAcentral lists this long non-coding RNA (513 nucleotides) under Volvox carteri. Its description in RNAcentral is "long non-coding RNA (VCAR_LNC003380)". Lineage: Eukaryota; Viridiplantae; Chlorophyta; Chlorophyceae; Chlamydomonadales; Volvocaceae. The record is from RNAcentral.
AGAGGGCCGGGAGGCCGCCAUACAGCCAGCGAAUGAGGUUGACCAGCUCCAACAUGUCCAGUAAUGAGGACGGAUUGUUGUGUUCGCUGAUUUCCUGUUGGAAGUCGUGCGACAAUGCAGGCCGCACUGCUCGUUCCUGUAAUUUCGGGGCAUGCAGUUGGGGGCAGAAAAAAAAGACGUUAUAGAAUAAAAUAUCUUUAAAAAUAUCGGUAAGUUUGGGGAAUGGGAGUUUGAGCCCGCUGAAGUAGCUCUGCAUGGAGAAGCCUAUGUAGGUCUAUUUUGUGGCUCACGGCGCCAAACAUGUAGGCGGCUCAAAACCUUCACAUAGCUAAAUUUUUGAUUUCAGUAACACCGCGAAACUCUAGAGAUCUUGCCUGGUGGCGUUGAACAGGCGAAUCCUCGCCAUCGCGCUUCCGAGAAAACAAACUUGAACUGCGGAAAAAUUUCAUACUUCUUAAAUACCUAUAUAAUUUGCAGGAUGUAUUAAAGCCCACAGAUGUUUAUCGGGACAGC